This 337-nucleotide unclassified non-coding RNA is filed under the name soil metagenome. RNAcentral describes it as "partial contains 5.8S ribosomal RNA, internal transcribed spacer 2, and large subunit ribosomal RNA". The stretch from base 1 to 120 matches the Rfam family "5.8S ribosomal RNA", at positions 35 to 154 of the family's 154-position model. The record is from RNAcentral.
GAUGAAGAACGCAGCGAAAUGCGAUAAGUAGUGUGAAUUGCAGAAUUCAGUGAAUCAUCGAAUCUUUGAACGCACAUUGCGCCCCUUGGUAUUCCAUGGGGCAUGCCUGUUCGAGCGUCAUUUGUACCUUCAAGCUCUGCUUGGUGUUGGGUGUUUGUCUCGCCUCUGCGUGUAGACUCGCCUCAAAACAAUUGGCAGCCGGCGUAUUGAUUUCGGAGCGCAGUACAUCUCGCGCUUUGCACUCAUAACGACGACGUCCAAAAGUACAUUUUUACACUCUUGACCUCGGAUCAGGUAGGGAUACCCGCUGAACUUAAGCAUAUUAAUAAGCGGAGGA